This 1684-nucleotide ribosomal RNA is filed under the name human gut metagenome. RNAcentral's name for it is "bacterial LSU rRNA". It matches the Rfam family "Bacterial large subunit ribosomal RNA", at positions 248 to 1973 of the family's 2925-position model. The record is from RNAcentral.
GGCGAGCGAAAUUGGAAGAGCCUGCAAGUGAUAUUGAAUUCGAUACUGGAACGGUCUGGAAAGUCCGGCUACAGAGGGUGAUAGCCCCGUACGGGAAAUUGGGUUCAAGGUACUGAGCUUGCGAAAAGUAGAGCGGGACACGUGAAAUCCUGCUCGAAGAUGGGGGGACCAUCCUCCAAGGCUAAAUACUCGUAAUCGACCGAUAGCGAACCAGUACUGUGAAGGAAAGGCGAAAAGAACCCCGGGAGGGGAGUGAAAUAGAUCCUGAAACCGCAUACAUACAAACAGUAGGAGCCCGCAAGGGUGACUGCGUACCUUUUGCAUAAUGGGUCAGCGACUUACGUUCAAUGGCAAGCUUAACCGAGUAGGGGAGGCGCAGCGAAAGCGAGUCCGAACAGGGCGAUAUGAGUCGUUGGGCGUAGACCCGAAACCAGAUGAUCUAUCCAUGGCCAGGCUGAAGGUGUGGUAACACACACUGGAGGGCCGAACCGACUAGUGUUGCAAAAUUAGCGGAUGAGCUGUGGAUAGGGGUGAAAGGCUAAACAAAUCUGGAGAUAGCUGGUUCUCCCCGAAAACUAUUGAGGUAGUGCCUCGUGUAUGGCUCCAGGGGGUAGAGCACUGUUAUGGCUAGGGGGACAUGGCGUCUUACCAAACCAUGGCAAACUCCGAAUACUUGGAAGUCUGAGCACGGGAGACAGAGCACCGGGUGCUAACGUCCGGACUCAAAAGGGAAACAACCCAGACCGCCGGCUAAGGUCCCUAAUAUUGACUAAGUGGAAAACGAAGUGGGAAGGCUAAGACAGUCAGGAAGUUGGCUUAGAAGCAGCCAUCCUUCAAAGAAAGCGUAAUAGCUCACUGAUCGAGUCUUCCUGCGCGGAAGAUGUAACGGGGCUAAGUCAAUAACCGAAGCCGCGGAUUCGCAGCAAUGCGAGUGGUAGGGGAGCGUUCUGUAAGCCUGCGAAGGCGGAUCCGCGAGGACCGCUGGAGGUAUCAGAAGUGCGAAUGCUGACAUGAGUAACGUUAAAGCGGGUGAAAAGCCCGCUCGCCGCAAGCCCAAGGUUUCCUGCUCUACGUUCAUCGGAGCAGGGUGAGUCGGCCCCUAAGGUCAGGCUGAGAAGCGUAGCUGAUGGGAAGCUGGUUAAUAUUCCAGCACCGAUUUCAAGUGCGAAGGGGGGACGGAGUCCUGAAGGUCAUCCGGGUGUUGGAUAUCCCGGUUUACGAGCGUAGGAGGUUGACAGGCAAAUCCGUCAACGAAUCUCCAAGGCGAAGGAUCGAGGUUGAGAGAUCAACUGAAGUGACUGAAUGGGCUUCCAGGAAAAGCCUCUAAGCGUCAGCUUGGAAUUGACCGUACCGCAAACCGACACUGGUGGGCGAGCUGAAUAUGCUCAGGCGCUUGAGAGAACUCAGGAGAAGGAACUCGGCAAAUUGACCCCGUAACUUCGGGAUAAGGUGUGCCUUUGUAGUGUGAAGAGAGAAACACUCCGAGCAUGAAGAGGCCUCAGAGAAUCGGUGGCUGCAACUGUUUACUAAAAACACAGCACUCUGCAAAGAUGAAAGUCGACGUAUAGGGUGUGAUGCCUGCCCGGUGCUGGAAGAUUAAUUGAUGGGGUGAGAGCCCUUGAUCGAAGUCCCAGUAAACGGCGGCCGUAACUAUAACGGUCCUAAGGUAGCGAAAUUCCUUGUC